This is a long non-coding RNA of Olea europaea var. sylvestris, 696 nucleotides long. RefSeq lists it as uncharacterized. The transcript is spliced from 2 exons. The record is from RefSeq and is a predicted model, not a curated record. NCBI's taxonomy places the organism in Eukaryota, Viridiplantae, Streptophyta, Magnoliopsida, Lamiales, Oleaceae.
ACUCGCUGUUCAGCCUAAGCUGGACAAUGCAGAAGAGGAGCAUAUUCUCGAGCAGUUCCAUUCAAGCAGGACUAUAAGAAAACUUGUUCUCGACUGUCCUGCUUUUGCUUCGACUCUGUGGGAAAAAGCUCUAAAAGGGAAAUGUGCGACCUGGGUCGAAGGACAUAGUUCCAAGAUCAUUAACGCAUAUUUGGAAACCUCGGAUUCCAAGAUAAAAGAGCUGGCAAAAGAAGAGUUGCAGCCCUUUGUAGACAGUGGUCUUCUCAGAUUACCAGUAACAGGCGAUUCUGUCAAAAACGACUAAAAAACCAUGGAGGAUGAACACGAAAUUGUUUCUGGUAGAGCAUGAAUGUGAUAUAAAUGCCUGCUCACACGAAUGACUCGUCUGAUGAGAAUCAUUGACAGUUUCUACUCAGUCGAAUGAGUUCUUUUGGUUGCAUGAGUUUUGGGACGAUGGAAGUUUUAUACGCCUGUAUGGGAAGCAAGCCGUUUAUAGAUCCGGUUAGCACCUCAUAACAUUGGCAUGAUAAUAGAAGAGGACGCUCAAAGUUUAAAUGUCUUUUCUGUUUUAGAAGUUUUGGGAUCUCUUUUUAUGUUGUUACUAGUCUUUUAAGCUAAACUUAUCAUUUUCAAAGAAACAAGAAUAUCUUCUUCUUCUUUUAUAUUUUAUGAAUGUAAUACCCUACUAAUGUAGUU